Molecule: long non-coding RNA, 836 nt
Filed under: Hordeum vulgare
Lineage: Eukaryota; Viridiplantae; Streptophyta; Magnoliopsida; Poales; Poaceae
Description: long non-coding RNA (HVUL_LNC011366)
Source: RNAcentral
CUCUCUUGGCUCCUGCCACACCAUCUAUCUUCUCAUAUCUUCCCGUGCAAACGCUAUGUUGUUACUCUAUAACUCCUAGGCAUGCGGGGCAUCGGGAUGGUUACAACAACAUCUGAAAAGCAUCGUGGGCACAUUGCGAAGACCAGACCUUUGUUCAUAGUUUGGUCUCGAUCAAUACACCAAUGGAAGGUGCUUUCUAGGCCUGCAUGAGAUGGAGCGUGCGAGGAUUGCUCCGUCACAUUUCCUGGCGUCGACGCGCCAUCCUUGCCAGUUGAGCUUCAGCAGUAGCUCAAACUCACAAUCCUUCUUUGAGAGUGUAUUUUUGCACCUUAAUUGUUGUCUAGUUCAACUCAAUGAUGAUGCACAUGGGCAACUUGUGGGAAAUCGCGCUUGGGAUACCUUGUCAUGGGUAUACCAGCAUGGUGGAGUUCCAUUCCCAUGACAUCGCUUCUUCAAAAACCUAGUCAUGUGUCACAAUCACCUUAAUGUUUAAGGUGUUGCACACACGGUAUACCUUCCUGUAGAAGUUAAUCAUGUUGUUUCUUUAGGAUUAGGAAAGAAAGCCAAACCGAGUCCUAGUAGUAUUAGGAUUCCUAGUCCUAGUCUAUUUUCAUAGUCCCUUGUGGACGUGUAUAAAAGACACCCUAGGGGUGUUCAUUGUAACACCAGAAAAACGAAAAGCAAUACAAAGCAAAGGCUCGACACGGGCCUUUAGCCAUCAAAUCCAUCGAUCAGUUUUAUUCGUGUCGCUAGUUACGCAAGUUCCGUCAAGUAGCCGGCCGAAGCAAGAAUCGCGUAGGCACGCCUGUACAGCUGCAUACGCACGUUCAAAAGCC